Long non-coding RNA from Leptopilina heterotoma, 1393 nucleotides. RefSeq lists it as uncharacterized. Lineage: Eukaryota; Metazoa; Arthropoda; Insecta; Hymenoptera; Figitidae. The transcript has 3 exons. The record is from RefSeq and is a predicted model, not a curated record.
AUAACACCUGUCCCUUUUUUAGAAUAUUUUAACAUAUAAAGGGUGAGAAAAGUAAAAUAUAUCAUUUCUAAAUUACUAGCACAUAGAAACAGUUUUUUUUAAUCAAAAUAUAUUAUAGUACAGAAUUCAUUUCUUCUAUAAAAAUCCAGUGCUUUUAUAACUUCCGUUAUAACAGUGCCGUGUAUACCAUAUAUGGUUUGUUCCAGGUUCGAUAUUAUGUGUAAUGCCUAAAAGCAGACAGAGGCUUGAAUUAUAAUUUGUUAUUGAUUCGGUGGGUUUGUAAACGUUUCCAAACGUAGAAUUAACGUAGGUUUUUUAGGAAGGAAUAUGAUAAAAUUGAAUAAUUUAUAAUUUAUAAAAAAAGAAUUAUACUCAUUAAUCUUUACGAUCUUUACCAAAAAUAUUAUUGUCUCAUACAGAAUAGAAUUAAAAGUUACAAUGUUACAAAUUUUACAUUAUUUAUUUACUAUAAAGUUUUCCUUGUAUAGGGAAUGAAAAUACUAAAAAUACUAUACAAUAAGAUAAAAAAAAGAUGUAAAAAAUGAGAAAAAAACCUGAUAAAUCAUCAUGCCAGAAUAAUUAGUUUAUUAUUAAUCAAUAAGGAACCGUUGCUGUGCAGAUAUAUUUGAUUCUGAACAUAAGUUUUGUACUCUGGAACUUUCUAGAGAAAGCAAUGAAAGCAUUUUCAACAAACGCUGAAAUCUAAUAAUACAAUUUUAUAACGGAUGUGGCUACAACAAUACAAGUACAUAUAUACAGCAUUUUCAACCUCCAUUCUCAAGCAGUUUUUAUAUAUUUAUCUGUUUGAAACGUCAUCUGUCGGAUCACUUGAGAAGAUGAUCUUAUGCUUAUAUUUCGCCUUCGCCAACUUACUCUCAUCUUUCAUCCAUUUGUGAUUUACCAUUUGCCGCAUUUACAUGAUUGUGUGUUAGGUCACGCUUGCUUUCCAAAAUUAAAUAAACAUGGUAUUUAUUAUUGAAAAUACCGAAUGUGAUAAUCAGUAAAAAUAUAAUUUGUUUUACAAUUCCUAUAAGAUCAAUUAAAAUAAACUUGGACUACUUCUGUUUAAAGAAUAAAGCAUCAGUGAAAUUAAGAACAUGAUGGUAGUAAUGGAAAGUGCUGAAGGCGUAGUCAACUGUCAAUUUAUUCGAGAUGAUUACAAAUAACAUUUGUCAGUUUACACCAGUUACAAAGUAUCAAGAGUUAACUAUGACUGAACUGCAAAGGAAACAAGGAGUUGAAGAUACGUAUCAAAUUUUCUUAAAUUCUAGUCAAAAUUUAUUACUGAAAGAUACUUUUGUAUCUUGUAUACAAUUUACAAACAAGAACAACCAUCCUCAGUAUUAUAAAGCAGUAAAGUUUAAAUUAUAAACUAAAUGACAAUGUAAUUGAA